RNAcentral lists this ribosomal RNA (194 nucleotides) under uncultured bacterium. RNAcentral's name for it is "partial 16S ribosomal RNA". It matches the Rfam family "Bacterial small subunit ribosomal RNA", at positions 1307 to 1500 of the family's 1533-position model. The record is from RNAcentral.
GCAACUCGCCUACAUGAAGUCGGAAUCGCUAGUAAUCGCGGAUCAGCAUGCCGCGGUGAAUACGUUCCCGGGCCUUGUACACACCGCCCGUCACACCAUGAGAGUUGGAAAUGCCCGAAGCCGGUGACCGAACCUUAGGGACGGAGCCGUCGAAGGUGGAGCCAAUGACUGGGGUGAAGUCGUAACAAGGUAUC